AGUGAACGCUGGCGGUAGGCCUAACACAUGCAGGUCGAACGGCAGCACAGUAAGAGCUUGCUCUUACGGGUGGCGAGUGGCGGACGGGUGAGGAAUACAUCGGAAUCUACUUUUUCGUGGGGGAUAACGUAGGGAAACUUACGCUAAUACCACAUACGACCUACGGGUGAAAGCAGGGGAUCUUCGGACCUUGCGCGAUUGAAUGAGCCGAUGUCGGAUUAGCUAGUUGGCGGGGUAAAGGCCCACCAAGGCGACGAUCCGUAGCUGGUCUGAGAGGAUGAUCAGCCACACUGGAACUGAGACACGGUCCAGACUCCUACGGGAGGCAGCAGUGGGGAAUAUUGGACAAUGGGCGCAAGCCUGAUCCAGCCAUACCGCGUGGGUGAAGAAGGCCUUCGGGUUGUAAAGCCCUUUUGUUGGGAAAGAAAAGCAGCAGGUUAAUACCCCGCUGUUCUGACGGUACCCAAAGAAUAAGCACCGGCUAACUUCGUG
RNAcentral lists this ribosomal RNA (492 nucleotides) under uncultured bacterium. RNAcentral describes it as "partial 16S ribosomal RNA". It matches the Rfam family "Bacterial small subunit ribosomal RNA", at positions 29 to 507 of the family's 1533-position model. The record is from RNAcentral.